UACGAAGGGGGCUAGCGUUGUUCGGAAUUACUGGGCGUAAAGCGCGCGCAGGCGGCCAUUCAAGUCAGGGGUGAAAGCCCAGAGCUCAACUCUGGAACUGCCCUUGAAACUGCAUGGCUUGAGUACGAGAGAGGUGAGUGGAAUUCCCAGUGUAGAGGUGAAAUUCGUAGAUAUUGGGAAGAACACCGGUGGCGAAGGCGGCUCACUGGCUCGUUACUGACGCUCAGGCGCGACAGCGUGGGGAUCGAAACAGG
This 254-nucleotide ribosomal RNA is filed under the name uncultured bacterium. RNAcentral's name for it is "partial 16S ribosomal RNA". It matches the Rfam family "Bacterial small subunit ribosomal RNA", at positions 524 to 776 of the family's 1533-position model. The record is from RNAcentral.